UGAAUUAUCAUAAAAAAAACCUUCCAACUAAACACAGAUAAUGUUCUUACUGUUAUUCACUCUAAUUUUUAAGCUAAAGGCAUAAAACUUGAAUUUCCGAGCGUAAGUUUGGUAAGUUACCGUUUGUAAGACGAAGACAACACAGCGGGUGUAGCGUCCUCUUAAUACACAGCUUUUUGUAUAAAUGCUUCUCUCUGAAUAGUAUUAAUAAAUGAUCAGGCUAAUGUGACGCAUUUCAGGUACUAGAAUUUGGCGUUGUGUCAAUGGACAUUGCAGUCGCAGUUAUAAGAACAAAUUCCAUUUGACCUACCACUUGAAGUAUGAAUGUGGAAAACAACCCUUAUACAAAUGUGACUUUUGUCUAAGGAUGUUUUCGAGAAAUUCAAACCUGAAGAAACACAUGUUUACAGUACAUAAAUACAUCAGCCACUGACUUAGUUCUUUUGAAAUCAUGUUUGAUUAUUUACCAGAGAUUAAUAUAAAAAAAAUUGUUGAAGGCAAUAACCAAAGUACCACUUUAUACACAGCAUAGGCGUAAAUUUGAGGCCCCAAGCCCCCAAAAUAUUUCCUAACUUAACCUCGCAAGUACAAUAAAUAUGUUAAUACGUAUUAAUUUAUAUUUUUAACCAUUUUUAAACCUAUGACCACAAUUUGUAUUGUGUAAUAUUACUGAUAUAAUAUAUUAACUUCUUUCUGACUAGUUACUAAAUGAAACCGUCGUGAAGACACUAUAAUGGUAUGAACAAAGCUCCUAAAUAUUAACUACACUAAGCAAAUUUAAACAACUUAUAUAUACCUAAUACCUACCUAUAUUGUAUUAAUGACUUAUUACUGAUGUUAAAUUUAGUAAACUGUUUGCAUACCAAUUUGUAAAUACAUUUUUUUUUAUAAGUUUUUAAGCAUUUGCUAAGUAUUCGACAACAACAACAACAACAAUAACAACAACAAUAAUUAUUAUUAUUUUGGGUACCUUUAGGCUUUAACUAUUGUUAAUAACUAAUUAAUUACAAAAUAUUCAUUAAAACAUUUAAAUCAUUUGUUGAAAGUGUAAUUUAUGCGUUGGCUAUUAAUAUACACACACCCAUAUGCAUUGAUUAAAGUAUUGAAACUUGGGUAUGGUUAUUUUUUUUAUUUUCAAGAAUUACCUAAUUUUGUUACCAGUUAUCACUUUAGUCACUUCUAAAUCAAUGAUAAUAGGACGUAAUAACUAUAAUAAUCUUACAAGUUAAUUUAGAUGUAACUAAAUAAUAUUGUAUUUUACGAUACAGUUCCUAUUUUGUUUUAUACAUUUUUUGCCUUACAAACCAGACGUACAGUUUACAAUGCUAUAAGUUAAUACUUAAUAUAUUAAAAUUGGUUAUAUACAGAUACCUGAUACACAUAUUGAUAUAUAUAUAUUAACAUUGAACCAACUUAUUUACUCAUACAUCAUUGAUUAGUUGAUUAAUUUGAGUUUUGUGGUUGUAGUAAGUAUUUUUAAUUUCAUCUACCAAUCCAACUAUAGUAAAUAGUUUCGUUUUUAAAUUACAACAUAUCUUUUUGUAUUAAAUAUUUUAUAGUUUAACUUAGAUUGUUAUGUUACUAUAUAUACUAUAUCUAUACUUGUCGUGGAUUUGUUAAGGUUUUUUUUCAAAUUAAUUGCUUUUGCCAUUUUAUUAAUUUAUUAUUAUUUUUGUAAAACGCAUUAAAAUAAUUUGCUUUAAUAUUUUGCGUUCUAACAUAUACUCACUUGUACAAUAGUUUAUUGAAUUUUGCCUCCCCCCUUAUUUUUAACUUUUAAUUGUGGUUGUCGUAUACAAUAAUAUAUUGUUUAGGCGCAUAUCCAUACGAUACGGCUGUCCAAAUUUGCACAAAAAUAACUGUUAUCAAAGUUAUAAAAACUAAUGUUCAUUUGGCUUUCAUCUAAAAUAAAAAUGCGACCAACAACCUCGGUACAAGUGCAAGAUUUGUCAUAAGCUGGUUCAUCGGAAAUCCAAUUUCAACUUAACACCUCAGAUAUGUACUUCACUCAUCUUUUUCACCCUUUUUCAAUUGUUAUCCAACUUCGGAAGAAAGGUCAAAUAUUUAACAAUAUCGUUAUAUGUAUUUGCUUAUGCUUAUACUAUUAAAAAAAAAAAAAUUCCAUGCGUUUAUUAUUUUAUUUAUUAUGUUGUAUAUUUGUACACUAUAAUUUAUACAUAUAUAAUGCAAAUAAAUAGAUCGAACGAUCAGAACGAUAACAAUGAUUGAAAGGUGAUUUUAUUGCAUUGCUUUUUAUAUUUUUGUUUAGUUAUUGCUUAUGUUAUCAUCAUAAUACACAGGUAUAGUAAAAGCACUUAUUUUGGUGCUGCUUUCAAUCACAACUUUGAUGAAAAAUAAAAUAGAGAAUAUCAAAUGCAAUUCUGUUAAAGUGCAUAUGAUAUUGCUUUUUUAAGUUUUCCUUAAAAAUUGUUUUUUACUGUAUCUUACUUUUUCUUAUUUCAGGUGAUCGAGAUACGUCAUUUUGCAAAUCAGCUGUAUACCGCAAUAGCACUGUUUUAAACGGAUUAUGUCCCUUUUGCCCAACAAAGCUGAAAGAAAUCAAUUGUUUAGAUGAGCAUGUUCUAGAUUUCCAUAAACCCUUAUUGUUAGCAUAUGAUAGAUCAAAUAAAACCGACAGAAAUUGUCCGACAAAUCAAUGAAUCGAUUGUGGAUGUAUCUUAAAAUAAAUGUUUUAGGGCCGUUGUUACAAUGUCCGGUUAAAGUUAACCGACACUUUACCGUACAUUGUAAAAACGGUCCUUAUUCUGUCUCGAAA
This 2776-nucleotide long non-coding RNA is filed under the name Acyrthosiphon pisum (pea aphid). RNAcentral describes it as "uncharacterized LOC107884547". The stretch from base 2701 to 2757 matches the Rfam family "mir-3015 microRNA precursor family". The record is from RNAcentral. Lineage: Eukaryota; Metazoa; Arthropoda; Insecta; Hemiptera; Aphididae.